This is a ribosomal RNA of Mustela putorius furo (domestic ferret), 118 nucleotides long. The record is from Ensembl. Lineage: Eukaryota; Metazoa; Chordata; Mammalia; Carnivora; Mustelidae.
GUCUAUGGUCAUACCACCCUGAAUAUGGCCGAUCUCAUCUGAUUUCAGAAGUUAAGCAGUAUCAGGCCUGGUUAGUACUUGGAUAAACAAUACUUAGGAAUAAACCUAACCAAAGAAU